AUGAUACGUUGGCGGAGGAUGUCUGGUUAUAAUGCUCUUUGGGUCCCUGGAGUGGACCACGCUGGCAUUGCUACACAGGUUGUAGUGGAAAAGAAGCUGAUGCGUGAAAGGAAGUUGACAAGGCAUGACAUAGGGCGUGACAAAUUUAUAUCUGAAGUCCUGGAAUGGAAAGAUCAGUACGGUGGUACCAUAUUGAAUCAAUUACAUAGGCUUGGAGCCUCCCUUGAUUGGUCCCGCGAGUGCUUUACAAUGGAUGAGAAAAGAUCAAAAGCUGUACCUGAAGCUUUUGUCAGGUUGUAUAAAGAUGGCCUUAUUUAUAGGGACUAUCGCCUUGUAGAUUGGGAUUGCACGCUUCUAACUGCGAUUUCUGACAUAGAGGUUGAUCAUCUAGAUCUUAAAGAAGAAACUAUGCUGAAUGUCCCUGGUUACAGCACACCAGUACAAUUUGGUGUCUUGAUUUCCUUUACGUAUCCUCUUGAAGGAGGAUUGGGUGAGAUUAUUGUUGCAACAACAAGAAGUGAAACUAUGCUGGGUGAUUCAGCAAUAGCUGUUCAUCCAGAGGAUAAAAGAUAUAAGCAUCGGCAUGGAAGAUAUGCAAUUCACCCCUUCCAUGGCAGAAAACUAAAAAUAAUCUGCGAUGCUGUGUUGGUGGAUCCCACUUUUGGCACUGGGGCUGUCAAGCUAUUACACAAGCCCAUGAUACAAAUGACUUUGAGGUUGGAAAGCGACAUAACCUAG
This 738-nucleotide ribosomal RNA is filed under the name Triticum aestivum (bread wheat). RNAcentral describes it as "partial small subunit ribosomal RNA". Lineage: Eukaryota; Viridiplantae; Streptophyta; Magnoliopsida; Poales; Poaceae. The record is from RNAcentral.